This 493-nucleotide ribosomal RNA is filed under the name uncultured bacterium. RNAcentral's name for it is "bacterial SSU rRNA". It matches the Rfam family "Bacterial small subunit ribosomal RNA", at positions 352 to 859 of the family's 1533-position model. The record is from RNAcentral.
CAGUGGGGAAUUUUCCGCAAUGGGCGCAAGCCUGACGGAGCAACGCCGCGUGGGUGACGAAGGAUUUCGGUCUGUAAAGCCCUUUCAGUCGGGACGAGUCGCAGACGGUACCGACAGAAGAAGCAUCGGCUAACUACGUGCCAGCAGCCGCGGUAAGACGUAGGAUGCGAGCGUUGUCCGGAAUUAUUGGGCGUAAAGCGUACGUAGGCGGUCAUCUAAGUCUGGGGUUAAAGACCAAGGCUCAACCUUGGGAGUGCCCUGGAUACUGGGUGACUGGAGGACGGCAGAGGAAAGUGGAAUUCCCAGUGUAGCGGUGAAAUGCGUAGAUAUUGGGAGGAACACCAGUGGCGAAAGCGACUUUCUGGGCCGUUCCUGACGCUGAGGUACGAAAGCCAGGGGAGCAAACGGGAUUAGAUACCCCGGUAGUCCUGGCCGUAAACGAUGGAUACUAGGUGUCAUCGGUAUCAACCCCGGUGGUGCCGUAGCUAACGCG